This 367-nucleotide ribosomal RNA is filed under the name uncultured bacterium. Its description in RNAcentral is "bacterial SSU rRNA". It matches the Rfam family "Bacterial small subunit ribosomal RNA", at positions 434 to 793 of the family's 1533-position model. The record is from RNAcentral.
CAGCAGUGAGGAAGGUGGGUAUGUUAAUAGCAUACUCAUUUGACGUUUAGCUGCAGAAGAAGCACCGGCUAACUCCGUGCCAGCAGCCGCGGUAAUACGGAGGGUGCGAGCGUUAAUCGGAAUUACUGGGCGUAAAGCGCAUGCAGGUGGUUUGUUAAGUCAGAUGUGAAAGCCCGGGGCUCAACCUCGGAAUUGCAUUUGAAACUGGCAAACUAGAGUACUGUAGAGGGGGUAGAAUUUCAGGUGUAGCGGUGAAAUGCGUAGAGAUCUGAAGGAAUAACCGGUGGCGAAGGCGGCCCCCCUGGACAGAUACUGACACUCAGAUGCGAAAGCGUGGGGAGCAAACAGGAUUAGAUACCCUCGGUAG